Molecule: ribosomal RNA, 492 nt
Filed under: uncultured bacterium
Lineage: Bacteria
Description: partial 16S ribosomal RNA
Rfam family: Bacterial small subunit ribosomal RNA
Source: RNAcentral
GAUGAACGCUAGCGGCAGGCUUAACACAUGCAAGUCGAGGGGUAUAGUAGCAAUACUAGAGACCGGCGCACGGGUGCGUAACGCGUAUGCAAUCUACCUUUCACAGAGGGAUAGCCCAGAGAAAUUUGGAUUAAUACCUCAUAGUAUAGUAUCUUGGCAUCAAGGAACUAUUAAAGUCACAACGGUGAAAGAUGAGCAUGCGUCCCAUUAGUUAGUUGGUAAGGUAACGGCUUACCAAGACUACGAUGGGUAGGGGUCCUGAGAGGGAGAUCCCCCACACUAGUGCUGAGACACUGACCAGACUCCUACGGGAGGCAGCAGUGAGGAAUAUUGGACAAUGGGCGCAAGCCUGAGCCAGCCAUGCCGCGUGCAGGAUGACGGUCCUAUGGAUUGUAAACUGCUUUUGUACAGGAAGAAACACCCCGACGUGUCGGGACUUGACGGUACUGUAAGAAUAAGGAUCGGCUAACUCCGUGCCAGCAGCCGCGGUAA